Molecule: ribosomal RNA, 395 nt
Filed under: uncultured bacterium
Lineage: Bacteria
Description: partial 16S ribosomal RNA
Rfam family: Bacterial small subunit ribosomal RNA
Source: RNAcentral
AUACGUAGGGGGCGAGCGUUGUCCGGAAUGAUUGGGCGUAAAGGGCGCGUAGGCGGCCCGGUAAGUCUGGAGUGAAAGUCCUGUUUUUAAGAUGGGAAUUGCUUUGGAUACUGUCGGGCUUGAGUGCAGGAGAGGUAAGUGGAAUUCCCAGUGUAGCGGUGAAAUGCGUAGAGAUUGGGAGGAACACCAGUGGCGAAGGCGACUUACUGGACUGUAACUGACGCUGAGGCGCGAAAGUGUGGGGAGCAAACAGGAUUAGAUACCCUGGUAGUCCACACUGUAAACGAUGAAUGCUAGGUGUAGGGGGUAUCGACCCCUUCUGUGCCGCAGUCAACACAAUAAGUAUUCCGCCUGGGGAGUACGGCCGCAAGGUUGAAACUCAAAUGAAUUGGCGG